RNAcentral lists this ribosomal RNA (439 nucleotides) under uncultured bacterium. RNAcentral's name for it is "bacterial SSU rRNA". It matches the Rfam family "Bacterial small subunit ribosomal RNA", at positions 954 to 1392 of the family's 1533-position model. The record is from RNAcentral.
GCUAAACGCGAAGAACCUUACCAAGGCUUGACAUACACCAGAACACCCUGGAAACAGGGGACUCUUUGGACACUGGUGAACAGGUGGUGCAUGGUUGUCGUCAGCUCGUGUCGUGAGAUGUUGGGUUAAGUCCCGCAACGAGCGCAACCCUCGUUCUAUGUUGCCAGCACGUUAUGGUGGGAACUCAUGGGAUACUGCCGGGGUCAACUCGGAGGAAGGUGGGGAUGACGUCAAAUCAUCAUGCCCCUUAUGUCUUGGGCUUCACGCAUGCUACAAUGGCCGGUACAAUGGGCUGCGAUACCGUAAGGUGGAGCGAAUCCCAAAAAGCCGGUCCCAGUUCGGAUUGAGGUCUGCAACUCGACCUCAUGAAGUCGGAGUCGCUAGUAAUCGCAGAUCAGCAACGCUGCGGUGAAUACGUUCCCGGGUCUUGUACACACCG